UUCGAUAACGAACGAGACCUUAACCUGCUAAAUAGUUACACGAUUCUCGAAUUGUGGACAACUUCUUAGAGGGACUAUCGGUGUUUAACCGAUGGAAGUUUGAGGCAAUAACAGGGCUGUGAUGCCCUUAGAUGUUCUGGGCCGCACGCGCGCUACACUGAUCAAGUCAACGAGUUUACAACCUUGGCCGGAAGGUCUGGGUAAUCUUUUGAAACUUGAUCGUGCUGGGGAUAGUCCAUUGCAAUUAUUGGACUUCAACGAGGAAUUCCUAGUAAGCGUGAGUCAUCAGCUCGCGUUGAUUACGUCCCUGCCCUUUGUACACACCGCCCGUCGCUACUACCGAUUGAAUGGCUGA
Molecule: ribosomal RNA, 355 nt
Filed under: Eukaryota sp.
Lineage: Eukaryota
Description: SSU rRNA
Rfam family: Eukaryotic small subunit ribosomal RNA
Source: RNAcentral